Molecule: ribosomal RNA, 402 nt
Filed under: uncultured eukaryote
Lineage: Eukaryota
Description: SSU rRNA
Rfam family: Eukaryotic small subunit ribosomal RNA
Source: RNAcentral
CGAAACCGCGAAUGGCUCAUUAAAUCAGUUAUGGUUCACUAGAUCGUACAGUUUACAUGGAUAACUGUGGUAAUUCUAGAGCUAAUACAUGCAACCAGUCCGUUCCCUCGUGGAGCGGACGCAGUUAUUUGCCCAAGACCAAUCCGGCCCUCGGGUCGGUCAAUUGGUGACUCUGAAUAACCGAAGCGGAGCACAUGAUCUCGUAUCGGCGCCAGAUCUUUCAAGUGUCUGACUUAUCAGCUUGUUGUUAGGUUAUGUUCCUAACAAGGCUUUUACGGGUAACGGAGUGUCAGGGCCCGACACCGGAGAGGGAGCCUGAGAAACGGCUACCACAUCCAAGGAAGGCAGCAGGCGCGCAAAUUACCCACUCCCGGCACGGGGAGGUAGUGACGAAAAAUAACG